AUGAAUAGCCUUGAUCUUAGGUUGCUGAAUUGGAAUGUGCUCGGGCUAAAUUGCCCAAACAGGAGAACUGUUGUCAAUGAAACAAUUGUUGCAUCUACGUGUCAUAUCGUGUGUAUUAAAGAAUCAAAGCUUGGAAUUGUUGACCCCCUCAUUGUUGCCUUUCUUGGAGGAUACAAGUUGAAAGGUUUUGCCCAACGCCUGGCAAUUGGUACGCGUGGUGGGAUCCUCAUGCUCUGGGACGAGGACCAUGUUCGUGUUGACGAUGUGCACUUUGGCACCUUCACCAUCUCUGCAAGGGUCACCGUUGUUAGCUCCGACACCACCUUCAAGCUCACCACGGUUUAUGGUCCGACGAGAGAUAAUCUGAAAGGUGAUUUCUUCCAAGAGCUGAAGGACGAAAAGCCUCCGCCUGGCGACAAAUGUCUUGUCACGGGAGAUUUCAAUCAGAUUUACCGUGCUAGGGAUAAGAAGCGAGCAAAUGCAAAUCGCAGCCGCAUCGUCCGAUUCCGGAAUGCUCUCAAUUUUUGUGAGCUCAAAGAAAUUCAUCUUCAGAACAGAAAGUACACUUGGAGUAACGAACAAAGCAACCCAACCAUGUCCAACCUGGAUGCCUUUUUCUGCAAUGAGGACUGGCACAUCACUUUUGACAAGCAUAUCAUUCAUGCUCUCUCCUCUCCGCUCUCAGACCACUGUCCCUUGCUCUUGGCAAAUAAUGAUGGUCCUAGGCAGCCUAAGACAUUUCGUUUUGAAAACUUUUGGACCAACAUGUCUGGCUUUCAUCAACUUGUCCAAGAUGUUUGGAAUGAGCCCACCGCGCGCGCAGAGCCCUACCAGCGGCUAUUCCAUAAGCUGAAAGCAAUUAGCCGUAAACUUAAGACUUGGAGCAAGUUGAUCUUCUCCAACACCAAAAUCCAACUCCAUAUGGCUUUGGAAAUCAUCCUUCGGUUGGACGAGGCUCAAGACAACAGGGAGCUAAGUUGUGAUGAGAGAGAUCUUAGAAUGAGACUUAAAAGAAGGGUGGUAGGCCUUGCGGUCUUGGAGAGAGCAAGGAAAAAGCAACCCUCAAGGAUCACAAGCAUUAAAGAGGGAGAAGCUAACACCAGUUUCUUCCACCUAAAGAUCAAUGGGAGGAGGAGGAAAAACCUCAUUCACCGCCUUAAGCAUGGGAUUGGGUGGGUCACGGAUCAUGACCAAAAAAAUGAGCAUUGUUCAAGCGCACUUCACUGUUAUGAUAAAAAGAGCACCCCGCGCACCAAGAGCAUCAACUGGGAUGCGAUUCCAUUUGUGGACCAGAACGUUUCCCACCUUGGAGAUUCCAUCACAGAGGAGGAGGCCAAGGCUGCGAUCUUUGCCCUCCCUAGUGACAAAGCUCCAGGGACCGACGGCUUCACCGGGAAAUUCUUCAAAGUAUGUUGGGAUAUAAUCAAGGAUGAUGUCAUGCUAGUGAUCAACAACUUCUCGGAGCUCCAUGCAAAAAACUUCCACUCGCUGAACUCAGCCAAUAUUGCUCUCAUCCGCAAGAAAGAUGGCACCGAGGGCACAUAG
RNAcentral lists this ribosomal RNA (1545 nucleotides) under Triticum aestivum (bread wheat). RNAcentral's name for it is "partial small subunit ribosomal RNA". Lineage: Eukaryota; Viridiplantae; Streptophyta; Magnoliopsida; Poales; Poaceae. The record is from RNAcentral.